GACUCUUUGGUUUCAAACCAAAUAAGCUCAGGUUUGACUCAAUUUGGAUCUGAUUCGAAUCAGAUUCGAAGAGCUUGUCAAUCCUAAUCUAAUUAAGAUUUUGAUCAAAGUCUAACUUAAAGUUUUAACCUAAUUAAUUCUUAAUUAAAUCAGAUAUAAUCUAAAAUUAGUUAGGAUAUAAAUUCAAUCUUUUAUUAAUUUUUUGGAUCAUUGAUCAGAUCAUCAUCAUCCCC
RNAcentral lists this long non-coding RNA (233 nucleotides) under Elaeis guineensis (African oil palm). RNAcentral's name for it is "long non-coding RNA (EGUI_LNC061083)". Lineage: Eukaryota; Viridiplantae; Streptophyta; Magnoliopsida; Arecales; Arecaceae. The record is from RNAcentral.